CCUACGGGCGUCAGCAGUAGGGAAUCUUCCACAAUGGACGAAAGUCUGAUGGAGCAACGCCGCGUGAGUGAAGAAGGUUUUCGGCUUGUAAAGCUCUGUGGGUAGUGAAGAAAGAUAUAGGUAGUAACUGGCCUUUAUUUGACGGUAAUUACUUAGAAAGUCACGGCUAACUACGAGCCAGCAGCCGCGGUAAUACGUAGGUGGCAAGCGUUGUCCGGAUUUAUUGGGCGUCAAGCGAGUGCAGGCGGUUCAAUAAGUCUGAUGUGAAAGCCUUCGGCUCAACCGGGGAAUUGCAUCAGAAACUGUUGGACUUGAGUGCAGGAGGGGUGAGUGGAAUUCCAUGUGUAGCGGUGGAAUGCGUAGAUAUAAGGAAGAACACCAGUGGCGAAGGCGGCUCACUGGACUGCAACUGACGCUGAGGCUCGAAAGCAUGGGUAGCGAACAGGAUUAGAUACCCGAGUAGUC
Molecule: ribosomal RNA, 465 nt
Filed under: uncultured bacterium
Lineage: Bacteria
Description: partial 16S ribosomal RNA
Rfam family: Bacterial small subunit ribosomal RNA
Source: RNAcentral